ACCAGGAGCUACUUAACGGACUAAACGAGUCAGGACCGAAGGAGCAUCUGCGCUGCCACCUCCACCAACUGCGCCGAACGUGGCCCCGCCCCCGACGACGACUUUAACCUCAGGGUGAACCUGUUAGGACACCGACUCCAGGGAAGACUGGUAACUGUUCCAACUCAUGAGUAAUGCAUCAUACUAUACUGCAGAGUUAUAGCCCUUCUUUCUACACUGAAUAUUAAAGACACGGCCCUGCUUUAUAAAACCUGCUGGAGGAGGGUUUGAUACCUGAGUGGCAGCAGAAAGCCAUAGCGUAUGAGGACUCCCAGCCCCCACAGGACGGUCAGCCGCAGGCUGAUAUAUUGGAAGUUAUUGUUGC
Long non-coding RNA from Oryzias melastigma (Indian medaka), 364 nucleotides. RefSeq lists it as uncharacterized. The record is from RefSeq and is a predicted model, not a curated record. The transcript is spliced from 3 exons. NCBI's taxonomy places the organism in Eukaryota, Metazoa, Chordata, Actinopteri, Beloniformes, Adrianichthyidae.